CGACCGGCGCACGGGUGAGUAACACGUAUGCAACCUGGCCGUGACAGAUGGAUAACCGGGAGAAAUCCCGCCUAAUACAACAUAAUGCCGGGAGGGGACAUCCCCUGCCGGUCAAAGGGGGCGACCCCGGUCACGGAUGGGCAUGCGGCGCAUUAGGUAGUUGGUGGGGCAACGGCCCACCAAGCCGACGAUGCGUAGGGGUUCUGAGAGGAAGGCCCCCCACACUGGUACUGAGACACGGACCAGACUCCUACGGAAGGCAGCAG
This 266-nucleotide ribosomal RNA is filed under the name uncultured bacterium. RNAcentral's name for it is "partial 16S ribosomal RNA". It matches the Rfam family "Bacterial small subunit ribosomal RNA", at positions 92 to 354 of the family's 1533-position model. The record is from RNAcentral.